AGGGAGGAGAUGUAGCGGUUAUCACUCCAGAUUCUGAGAAUCCCGGCCUUCUGGCGACCCCGGUUCGAUUCCGGGCACGACCUCUUUU
Non-coding RNA from Mycena rebaudengoi, 88 nucleotides. NCBI's taxonomy places the organism in Eukaryota, Fungi, Basidiomycota, Agaricomycetes, Agaricales, Mycenaceae. The record is from the annotation of a GenBank genome assembly.